GACGAACGCUGGCGGCGUGCUUAACACAUGCAAGUCGAACGAGAAGAGAUGAGAAGCUUGCUUCUUAUUGAUUCGAGUGGCAAACGGGUGAGUAACGCGUAAGCAACCUGCCCUUCAGAUGGGGACAACAGCUGGAAACGGCUGCUAAUACCGAAUACGUUCUCUUUAUCGCAUGGCAGAGGGAAGAAAGGGAGGCUCUUCGGAGCUUUCGCUGAAGGAGGGGCUUGCGUCUGAUUAGCUAGUUGGAGGGGUAACGGCCCGACCAAGGCGACGAUCAGUAGCCGGUCUGAGAGGAUGAACGGCCACAUUAGGGACUGAGACACGGCCCAGACUCCUACGGAGGCAGCAGUGGGAAUCUUCCGCAAAUGGACGAAAGUCUGACGGAGCAACGCCGCGUGAACGAUGACGGCCUCGGUGUAAAGUUCUGUUAUACGGACGAAUGGUACGACGGUCAAUACCCGUCCGUAAGUGACGGUACCGUAAGAGAAAGCC
This 492-nucleotide ribosomal RNA is filed under the name uncultured bacterium. RNAcentral's name for it is "bacterial SSU rRNA". It matches the Rfam family "Bacterial small subunit ribosomal RNA", at positions 28 to 492 of the family's 1533-position model. The record is from RNAcentral.